UUCCCGCCCAGAUAGUUUUGUGAUUGUGCAGUCAGCAAGUAAACAAACAAGACUCAAGUAAUAGGGGAUUUUGAAAUUAAAUACACAAGUUCUUGAAAAACAAUGAAAGCAAGGUUUUGAAAAAAGUUACAAUCUAAGCAUGCUUGUGAAUGUUAAAGGGGUCCUAGGUUUGUUCGUAAUAUGGAUCACAUCAAUGCAAUACUCGGUAUGGUACUCCCCAGAAGAGGGGAUACACGUGGUAUUAGCGCACCGGUCAUCAUGUCCCUAUCUACCCUUCCCACCCCGUGAAAGUAUUAAAAGCGAGGAUUGGUCUCGACCUCUAUUGCAUGCUGUUAUUCCUCCUGUUCCUAUCGAUAUCGGAGAAAUAAAGGACUAUUAUUCCUAUAAGAGGGAGGUUUUAGGCUGACUCUUUGGUUUAAAGGUUAAAUGCUAAGAUGACAUACAAAAACAAGUAGGACUGUAUUUAGAAAGGAAACAUGUAAGCAGUUAGAAGGCGCAUGUAUACCUCCGCAAAUAAUGCAUACAAACAACAUGACUUAAAGCACAGUUAAGGUCUGAAUUUUAAAGAUCCUAAAGCAAGGUGCUUGAGUCAGAACCAGAUUCAAUAUAUAACUCAG
RNAcentral lists this long non-coding RNA (617 nucleotides) under Nicotiana benthamiana. Its description in RNAcentral is "long non-coding RNA (NBEN_LNC034411)". The record is from RNAcentral. Lineage: Eukaryota; Viridiplantae; Streptophyta; Magnoliopsida; Solanales; Solanaceae.